RNAcentral lists this ribosomal RNA (420 nucleotides) under uncultured Alphaproteobacteria bacterium. RNAcentral's name for it is "bacterial SSU rRNA". It matches the Rfam family "Bacterial small subunit ribosomal RNA", at positions 237 to 735 of the family's 1533-position model. Lineage: Bacteria; Pseudomonadati; Pseudomonadota; Alphaproteobacteria. The record is from RNAcentral.
AUGUUGGGGGGUAAGGGCUCAGGGUCAGUGAGAGGAGAUCACCCACCUGGGAUGAGACACGGUCCAGAAUUCGGAGGCAGCAGAAUAUGGCCAAUGGGCGCAAGCUGACCCAUGCCGCUGAUGAAGCUAGGGUAAAGCUAUUUUGUCCGGGCCGAUAAUGACGGUACCGGAAGAAUAAGCCCCGGCUAACUUCGUGCCAGCAGCCGCGGUAAUACGAAGGGGGCGAGCGUUGCUCGGAAUCACUGGGCGUAAAGGGCGGUAGGCGGCCAUUUAAGUCGGGGGUGAAAGCCUGUGGCUCAACCUCAGAAUUGCAUUCGAUACUGUUUGGCUUGAGUAUGGUAGAGGUGGGUGGAAUCGAGUGUAGAGGUGAAAUUCGUAGAUAUUGCAAGAACACCAGUGGCGAAGGCGGCCGCCUGGACC